GUGAACGCUGGCGGUAGGCCUAACACAUGCAAGUCGAACGGCAGCACAGUAAGAGCUUGCUCUUACGAGUGGCGAGUGGCGGACGGGUGAGGAAUACAUCGGAAUCUACUUUUUCGUGGGGGAUAACGUAGGGAAACUUACGCUAAUACCGCAUACGACCUACGGGUGAAAGCAGGGGAUCUUCGGACCUUGCGCGAUUGAAUGAGCCGAUGUCGGAUUAGCUAGUUGGCGGGGUAAAGGCCCACCAAGGCGACGAUCCGUAGCUGGUCUGAGAGGAUGAUCAGCCACACUGGAACUGAGACACGGUCCAGACUCCUACGGGAGGCAGCAGUGGGGAAUAUUGGACAAUGGGCGCAAGCCUGAUCCAGCCAUACCGCGUGGGUGAAGAGGGCCUUCGGGUUGUAAAGCCCUUUUGUUGGGAAAGAAAAGCAGCAGGUUAAUACCCCGCUGUUCUGACGGUACCCAAAGAAUAAGCACCGGCUAACUUCGUG
RNAcentral lists this ribosomal RNA (491 nucleotides) under uncultured bacterium. RNAcentral's name for it is "partial 16S ribosomal RNA". It matches the Rfam family "Bacterial small subunit ribosomal RNA", at positions 29 to 507 of the family's 1533-position model. The record is from RNAcentral.